Molecule: small RNA, 88 nt
Filed under: Flavobacterium hercynium
Lineage: Bacteria; Pseudomonadati; Bacteroidota; Flavobacteriia; Flavobacteriales; Flavobacteriaceae
Description: Flavo-1 RNA
Rfam family: Flavo-1 RNA
Source: Rfam by way of RNAcentral
UUUUAGCCCCGAUGGGAAUGGCAUCCUUUUAUGACUUCCGAUGAAUAUCGGGGAGUCAUAAAAGAUACAAUGGACAGCGGGAAUAGCU